This is a long non-coding RNA of Phyllostomus discolor (pale spear-nosed bat), 427 nucleotides long. RefSeq lists it as uncharacterized. The record is from RefSeq and is a predicted model, not a curated record. The transcript is spliced from 2 exons. NCBI's taxonomy places the organism in Eukaryota, Metazoa, Chordata, Mammalia, Chiroptera, Phyllostomidae.
ACUUUUUCUGUAAAUGACCAGAGUGUAAGUAAAUAUUUUAAAUUUGCUGGCCACAUAAAGUUUCUGUGACAAAUUCUUCCCUUUUUUUUUUCAAAAUAACCUUCAAAAAAUGUAUGAACCAGUCUCAGGUUGGCAGCCAAAGUGUGCCAACCUCUGACUCAGAUUAAGAUUACUGUCUGUGACAAAAUAAAUGCAUAAAUGCAGUACCAUUCCAAAAUAUUGCAAUAGUUACCUACUACUAAAAUACUUUAUAAAAAUGUGAAGCUAAAACACCUGAGGAAGGAAACAGAGACUCUAACUACAGAAGGGAUUUUUAACUUAGGGACCUGUUGACAGCUAUAAAUAGUUUUAAGAUAAAAGCAAUCUAUAUUAAUUUUCAUCAUCAAAGUAAACUUCAACAAGCAAAUUUCAACAGGUAGAUAAAUAA